AUUGAACGCUGGCGGCAGGCCUAACACAUGCAAGUCGAGCGGAUGAAGGGAGCUUGCUCCUGGAUUCAGCGGCGGACGGGUGAGUAAUGCCUAGGAAUCUGCCUGGUAGCGGGGGAUAACGUCCGGAAACGGGCGCUAAUACCGCAUACGGCCUGAGGGCGAAAGUGGGGGAUCUUCGGACCUCUCGCUAUUUGAUGAGCCUAGGUCGGAUUAGCUAGUUGGUGGGGUAAAGGCCUACCAAGGCGACGAUACGGAACUGGUCUGAGAGGAUGGUCAGUCAGACUGGGAGUGAGACAGGGUACAAAGUCCUGGAGGAAGCAGCAGUGGGGAAUAUUGGGCGAGGGGCGAGAGCCUGAUCCAGCCAUGCGGGGGGUGGAAGGAGGGUCUUCGGAUGGGGGAGCACUGUAAGUGGGGGGGAAGGGCAGUUAGGUAAUACCGAACUGUAAUGACGGUACCAGGAGAAUAAGCACCGGCUAACUUCGUG
RNAcentral lists this ribosomal RNA (484 nucleotides) under uncultured bacterium. RNAcentral describes it as "partial 16S ribosomal RNA". It matches the Rfam family "Bacterial small subunit ribosomal RNA", at positions 29 to 507 of the family's 1533-position model. The record is from RNAcentral.